Molecule: ribosomal RNA, 253 nt
Filed under: uncultured bacterium
Lineage: Bacteria
Description: partial 16S ribosomal RNA
Rfam family: Bacterial small subunit ribosomal RNA
Source: RNAcentral
UACGGGGGGGGCGAGCGUUGUUCGGAAUUACUGGGCGUAAAGGGCGCGUAGGCGGUUCGCUAAGUUGGAUGUGAAAACUCUGGGCUCAACCCAGAGCCUGCAUCCAAAACUGGCGGGCUAGAGUUCUGGAGGGGGUAGCGGAAUUCCUGGUGUAGCGGCGAAAUGCGUAGAUAUCAGGAGGAAUACCGAUGGCGAAGGCAGGUCUCUGGGCUAUAACUGACGCUCAUGCACGAAAGCGUGGGGAGCAAACAGG